This 1390-nucleotide long non-coding RNA is filed under the name Pogona vitticeps (central bearded dragon). RNAcentral's name for it is "lncRNA (ENSPVIG00000016862.1)". Lineage: Eukaryota; Metazoa; Chordata; Lepidosauria; Squamata; Agamidae. The record is from RNAcentral.
GGAUGGAAGGAGCUGCAACGUCCCUGGGGGGGAAGGGGGCUUGGGGGGAUACCAGGCAUGGGGUGGGUGUGCAGGGAUGAGAAAGUCGGUUGGAGGGGAGGGGGCCAUAUCCAGAUGCCUCCCCCCUCUCCUACAAGGCCUGGGGCCUUCCCCAGGUAAAAUCCCCACAUUUUAUUAUUUAGUUAUUGAAUGAUUGAUUUGUUUAUUUAUCUUAUAAAAGACAGUUCACAGCGAUGGGCGAGAUCUGCAAGAACUGAAAUAAUUAAAAAACAAACAGACAACCUUUUAAAAUGCAGGAGACCUCAAAGUGACCCUAGAGAAGGUGACCGAAGAAGACGGACCCCUUGGCACCAGAGUAACCGGAUGGGGAACCUGCUCAGGUUUGGAUAAGGCCCACGGAUACCUUAAACGGGCUGACAUGUUCUCAAGGAAGACUGUGUUCAGAAGACCCUAAGGCAGGUCUUCAAAGGUGAAGAAAAUAUUCCCUGUGCUUGAAAGAAAGACUCCAGCAUGUUUGCCCUUGGUAAGUAUCAUCAGUACCUCCACACGGUCUUUUGCAGAAGCAAGAAACGAGGAACCCCCUCACUGGCUUUGUAGUGGAAGUGAUUUCCCAUUAUCUCCAAGUCUCUUUCAUCGGCUCGCUUUGAUUCCCACACUUUCCUUUUUUUCCCUGUUGUUUCCGAUCUCAACAGACAUAAAUAGGGUCUCGGGUCCAGGCAAAUACAAUACUGAACGGUGCUCGUUAUCACUUUUUAUCCACAACUGAGACCGUUGACAUGUGUCUGAAGUGACUGCCAGCCCAUCCUGACCAAGAGUACUUGAGCCUUUUGGGUGCAGAGUCAGACCUGUACUUGCUUACUGAUAACCCUCCAAUCUCAAGUAACUAAUAACGCACAACAGGCCACAAAACAUUAAUGCACACAUGAGCACUAAACCCUGCCCGCAGGCCCUUUAAUUAAGUCCAUGAAAGCUUACAUUAAAACCUAAUGGUUAGUCUUUAAGGUAUCACGUGUUUUCCUUUCUCUCUUUUGUCUUGUCUUGUUUUGGGUUUUUUUGGAUUUUGCCUGAUACCCUUUUAAUUAUUUUACUGCACACAUUUGGUCUUUAUAGCACCCCUCCCUUCCCCUUUUCUUUGUUCUUAUUCUGUAUUCUAAUUUCUUUCUCUUGUAGGAAUUUUUACCAAACAGACUUCAGAAGAACGGCUCACUUAAACACUGGUCCUGAAUUACUGCACGUAGGAGAUGCAACCAUUCACCUCUGACAAAAGCUCACCUUAAAAUACACAAGUUUUUGUCUUUUGGUCUUAUUAUUAUUAUUAAUAAUAAGUGAGUGACUGUGUCUGGGAGAAUUUCUGGCCUGCACUCCCUCGGCCUUUUCAGGACUGGGACCC